GGAGCGGCAGACGGGUGAGUAACGCGUGGGAACGUACCUUUUGCUACGGAAUAACUCAGGGAAACUUGUGCUAAUACCGUAUGUGCCCUUCGGGGGAAAGAUUUAUCGGCAAAGGAUCGGCCCGCGUUGGAUUAGCUAGUUGGUGAGGUAAAGGCUCACCAAGGCGACGAUCCAUAGCUGGUCUGAGAGGAUGAUCAGCCACACUGGGACUGAGACACGGCCCAGACUCCUACGGGAGGCAGCAGUGGGGAAUAUUGGACAAUGGGCGCAAGCCUGAUCCAGCCAUGCCGCGUGAGUGAUGAAGGCCCUAGGGUUGUAAAGCUCUUUCACCGGUGAAGAUAAUGACGGUAACCGGAGAAGAAGCCCCGGCUAACUUCGUGCCAGCAGCCGCGGUAAUACGAAGGGGGCUAGCGUUGUUCGGAUUUACUGGGCGUAAAGCGCACGUAGGCGGACUUUUAAGUCAGGGGUGAAAUCCCGGGGCUCAACCCCGGAACUGCCUUUGAUACUGGA
This 510-nucleotide ribosomal RNA is filed under the name uncultured bacterium. RNAcentral's name for it is "bacterial SSU rRNA". It matches the Rfam family "Bacterial small subunit ribosomal RNA", at positions 92 to 637 of the family's 1533-position model. The record is from RNAcentral.